UACGGGGGGAGCAAGCGUUGUUCGGAUUUACUGGGCGUAAAGGGCGCGUAGGCGGCCACCGCAAGUCGGUUGUGAAAUCUCCGGGCUUAACCCGGAAAGGUCAACCGAUACUGCGGGGCUAGAGUGCAGAAGGGGCAACUGGAAUUCUCGGUGUAGCGGUGAAAUGCGUAGAUAUCGAGAGGAACACCUGCGGCGAAGGCGGGUUGCUGGGCUGAUACUGACGCUGAUGCGCGAAAGCCAGGGGAGCGAACGGG
Molecule: ribosomal RNA, 254 nt
Filed under: uncultured bacterium
Lineage: Bacteria
Description: partial 16S ribosomal RNA
Rfam family: Bacterial small subunit ribosomal RNA
Source: RNAcentral